This 22-nucleotide microRNA is filed under the name Cordylochernes scorpioides. Lineage: Eukaryota; Metazoa; Arthropoda; Arachnida; Pseudoscorpiones; Chernetidae. The record is from RNAcentral.
AAUCUCACCCCUGCACUUUGAU